GUGAUUGGAGAAGGGGGAGGAAGAGAAAUGUGGAAGAGGACAGGGAGAGAGAGCACAGACAGGAAAACUGCAGAAAGCCACAGGGAAAAAGAACUCCAAGAUUACAAAUACCCACUUCAUUUGAUGCUGAGUUACUCGUCGACACAUAAGAAAAGUGCUCUUGCACUCCCUCUGCUGGUCUUGCUAAUUAACAGUAUCAGCCUCAAGAAGUCUAGUAAAAGAGUGGUGCUGAGGACUACUGAGGACUAUUGAGGAGGACAACUGAAGAAAACUCUAAGGAGGACUACUGAGUAGGAUUCGUGAAGGAUGGCCAGCUCUUUGUCAGAAAUUCAUGUUGCUUGGCCUCCAGAUGAAGCAAAGACGAACAAAGAAAAUUUGCUUAUAGGUGGCAAAAACAAAUAAUACCGUGAUUGUUUUUAUCUCUUGAAGAAAGAAUGCCACAAAAUGGACAUUUUCACACUUACCAAAAAAGUUGUUCUCUCCCCCCUCAAACAGUAGAGCUGGUUACUCAUGUUCUGUUCAAUUGUAUGUAUAAUUAAUAAGAUGUAUAAAGAUAUGGUGCACCAAUUUUGUAUCUGGAUAUUUACACCCUGGGAGGUUAAAUGGAAAGUUGUUUGUCUUUGAUGGAGGAAUUCCCGGGUGUGAGACACAGCUGCCCAGUGGCUCCACUCCCACGACUUAGACUUCCCAUAUAGGGUUGCAAAGAG
This 707-nucleotide long non-coding RNA is filed under the name Cricetulus griseus (Chinese hamster). RNAcentral's name for it is "lncRNA (ENSCGRG00000026154.1)". Lineage: Eukaryota; Metazoa; Chordata; Mammalia; Rodentia; Cricetidae. The record is from RNAcentral.